This 480-nucleotide ribosomal RNA is filed under the name uncultured bacterium. RNAcentral describes it as "bacterial SSU rRNA". It matches the Rfam family "Bacterial small subunit ribosomal RNA", at positions 903 to 1397 of the family's 1533-position model. The record is from RNAcentral.
AAAGGAAUAGACGGGGACCCGCACAAGCAGCGGAGCGUGUGGUUUAAUUCGAGGCUACACGAAGAACCUUACCUGGGUUUGACAUGCUAGUGGUAGCGACGCGAAAGCCGAGCGACCCUUCGGGGAGCUAGCACAGGUGCUGCAUGGUUGUCGUCAGCUCGUGCCGUGAGGUGUUAGGUUAAGUCCUGCAACGAGCGCAACCCCUUCCGUUAGUUAAAUCUCUCUAGCGGGACUGCCGGGGUAACCCGGAGGAGGGUGGGGAUGACGUCAAAUCAGCAUGGCCUUUAUAUCCAGGGCUACACACACGCUACAAUGGUCGGCACAGUGGGCUGCAAUACCGCAAGGUGGAGCCAAUCCUCAAAGCCGGCCCCAGUUCAGAUUGGAGGCUGCAACCCGCCUCCAUGAAGUCGGAGUUGCUAGUAACCGCAGGUCAGCUAUACUGCGGUGAAUACGUUCCCGGGUCUUGUACACACCGCCCGU